RNAcentral lists this ribosomal RNA (253 nucleotides) under uncultured bacterium. RNAcentral describes it as "partial 16S ribosomal RNA". It matches the Rfam family "Bacterial small subunit ribosomal RNA", at positions 524 to 776 of the family's 1533-position model. The record is from RNAcentral.
UACGGAGGGGACUAGCGUUGUUCGGAAUUACUGGGCGUAAAGCGCACGUAGGCGGAUUUGUAAGUCAGGGGUGAAAUCCCGGGGCUCAACCUCGGAACUGCCUUUGAUACUGCAAAUCUCGAGUCCGGAAGAGGUGAGUGGAAUUCCUAGUGUAGAGGUGAAAUUCGUAGAUAUUAGGAAGAACACCCGUGGCGAAGGCGGCUCUCUGGGACGGUACUGACGCUGAGACGCGAAAGCGUGGGGAGCGAACAGG